Molecule: long non-coding RNA, 770 nt
Filed under: Scleropages formosus (Asian bonytongue)
Lineage: Eukaryota; Metazoa; Chordata; Actinopteri; Osteoglossiformes; Osteoglossidae
Description: lncRNA (ENSSFOG00015029979.1)
Source: RNAcentral
UGCCUCAUCUGUGCUUUUUUUCAGACUUGGCUUCGGGACGGCUAUAUGCACUUGCUAAGCUUUUUCCGUGGAUUCAGUGUUCUCUGGAACAGAUUAGCCUCUAAAAGGGAGGGAUGGCUGGUGGAAGAGGAGAGUGACAGGGAGACCGAGCAAGGGAGAAGUGAGACUGAAGAGAGGCACCAGCACAUCUGUCGUCAUAAUCAGGACCAGCCAUCCUCAGGAAGGGUGUAAACUCACACACAGAAGCAGAAAGUUAAAAAAAAUCGUCAGACUCCGAAGAAACUGGAUACAAAGUGAAAAUGAUCAGAGCCUAAAGAAAUGGAUCCGACUACAUUAGCACACCACACUGUUUUAAGUGCUGUAUUGCAGUGAGUAUCAAACAUUUAGCAGGUGUGUGUUUCUCUGCAUGUGAAAUGAGGGUGUGGCACAGAGUGUGUGUGUAUGAAUAUGUCAGGGUUUGUCUUUGAAUAACGAAUAAUAAGAAAAUUAAAUGAAAACACAUAUUUUAACUAGAAUUGAAUGAUAUUACAGAAAUACAUGCUCAGUUUCAUUAUUUAAUUUCCUGAUCUAAUUUUAGAAGUUUACUUGAGAUGAUAUUUACCAUAAGUAAUUCCACUUACAUAACAUGCCCUGGUCCUGUUUUAGAAGUUAAAGUACAUGUUCCUGUCGCUGGCGGACUCUCAGAGUUAUAAAUAUGACGAAACAUUCCAGAAACACUAAAGAGAGGUGCAGUAAAAAAUGAAAAUAAAAUUAAAAAAAAAAAAAAAUCA